RNAcentral lists this ribosomal RNA (423 nucleotides) under uncultured bacterium. Its description in RNAcentral is "partial 16S ribosomal RNA". It matches the Rfam family "Bacterial small subunit ribosomal RNA", at positions 361 to 776 of the family's 1533-position model. The record is from RNAcentral.
AUAUUGGACAAUGGGCGAAAGCCUGAUCCAGCCAUGUCGCGCGUGUGAAGAAGGUCUUCGGAUUGUAAAGCACUUUAAUUUGGGAGGAGGGGUUGUAGGUUAAUACCCUGCAAUUUUGACGUUACCAACAGAAUAAGCACCGCCUAACUUCGUGCCAGCAGCCGCGGUAAUGCGAAGGGUGCAAGCGUUAAGCGGAAUUACUGGGCGUAAAGCGCGCGGAGGUGGUUCGUUAAGUUGGAAGUGAAAGCCCCGGGCUUAACAUGGGAAUUGCUUUCAAAACUGACGAGCUAGAGUACGGUAGAGGGUAGUGGAAUUUCCUGUGUGGCGGUGAAAUGCGUAGAUAUAGGAAGGAACAUCAGUGGCGAAGGCGACUACCUGGACUGAUACUGACACUGAGGUGCGAAAGCGUGGGGAGCAAACAGG